UAGUGGGGUAGAGGCUAAGAACUUCGUCCUGUAUGUGGGCACCUGGGGCGAAGGAAGCCAAUGGUGCGACCGCCUACCGUUUAA
The submitters of this non-coding RNA (84 nucleotides) gave its source as unclassified sequences. The record is from Rfam.